RNAcentral lists this ribosomal RNA (906 nucleotides) under uncultured bacterium. RNAcentral's name for it is "bacterial SSU rRNA". It matches the Rfam family "Bacterial small subunit ribosomal RNA", at positions 33 to 957 of the family's 1533-position model. The record is from RNAcentral.
ACGCUGACAGAAUGCUUAACACAUGCAAGUCUUUGGCGAAGCUGUGCUUGCACAGCCUAGCCAAGGCGGACGGGUGAGUAACGCGUAAGGAACUUGCCCUGCAGUCAGGGAUAACAGACGGAAACGACUGAUAAGACCUGGUAAAGUCAGGCGGACUCAUGUCCAGCCUGAUGAAAAGAGAUGCUGCAGGAGAGCCUUGCCUCCUAUUAGCUUGUUGGUGGGGUAACGGCCCACCAAGGCGAUGAUAGGUAGCCGGCCUGAGAGGGUGGACGGCCACAAGGGGACUGAGAUACGGCCCUUACUCCUACGGGAGGCAGCAGUGGGGAAUAUUGGACAAUGGGGGCAACCCUGAUCCAGCAAUUCUGUGUGCACGAUGAAGGUUUUCGGAUUGUAAAGUGCUUUCAGCAGGGAAGAAAAAAAUGACGGUACCUGCAGAAGAAGCGACGGCUAAAUACGUGCUAGCAGCCGCGGUAAUACGUAUGUCGCAAGCGUUAUCCGGAAUUAUUGGGCAUAAAGGGCAACUAGGCGGCCAGAUAAGUCUGGGGUGAAAACUUGCGGCUCAACCGCAAGCCUGCCCUGGAAACUAUGUGGCUAGAGUACUGGAGAGGUGGACGGAACUGCACGAGUAGAGGUGAAAUUCGUAGAUAUGUGCAGGAAUGCCGAUGAUGAAGAUAGUUCACUGGACGGUAACUGACGCUGAAGUGCGAAAGCUAGGGGAGCAAACAGGAUUAGAUACCCUGGUAGUCCUAGCUGUAAACGAUGAUUACUGGGUGUGGGCAUGAAGAGUGUCCGUGCCGAAGCUAAUGCGAUAAGUAAUCCGCCUGGGGAGUACGGCCGCAAGGCUGAAACUCAAAGGAAUUGACGGGGACCCGCACAAGCGGUGGAGCAUGUGGUUUAAUUCGACGC